GGGUUGUGAGGUUAAGCGACUAAGCGUACACGGUGGAUGCCCUGGCAGUCAGAGGCGAUGAAGGACGUGCUAAUCUGCGAUAAGCGCCGGUAAGGUGAUAUGAACCGUUAUAACCGGCGAUUUCCGAAUGGGGAAACCCAGUGUGACUCGUCACACUAUCAUUAACUGAAUCCAUAGGUUAAUGAGGCGAACCGGGGGAACUGAAACAUCUAAGUACCCCGAGGAAAAGAAAUCAACCGAGAUUCCCCCAGUAGCGGCGAGCGAACGGGGAGGAGCCCAGAGCCUGAAUCAGCAUGUGUGUUAGUGGAAGCGUCUGGAAAGGCGCGCGAUACAGGGUGACAGCCCCGUACACAAAAGCGCAUGUGCUGUGAGCUCGAUGAGUAGGGCGGGACACGUGGUAUCCUGUCUGAAUAUGGGGGGACCAUCCUCCAAGGCUAAAUACUCCUGACUGACCGAUAGUGAACCAGUACCGUGAGGGAAAGGCGAAAAGAACCCCGGCGAGGGGAGUGAAAAAGAACCUGAAACCGUGUACGUACAAGCAGU
RNAcentral lists this ribosomal RNA (543 nucleotides) under Salmonella enterica subsp. enterica serovar Schwarzengrund. Its description in RNAcentral is "partial 23S ribosomal RNA". It matches the Rfam family "Bacterial large subunit ribosomal RNA", at positions 1 to 574 of the family's 2925-position model. Lineage: Bacteria; Pseudomonadati; Pseudomonadota; Gammaproteobacteria; Enterobacterales; Enterobacteriaceae. The record is from RNAcentral.